This 449-nucleotide ribosomal RNA is filed under the name uncultured bacterium. RNAcentral describes it as "partial 16S ribosomal RNA". It matches the Rfam family "Bacterial small subunit ribosomal RNA", at positions 29 to 523 of the family's 1533-position model. The record is from RNAcentral.
AACGAACGCUGGCGGCAGGCCUAACACAUGCAAGUCGAGCGAAGCCUUCGGGCUUAGCGGCGGACGGGUGAGUAACGCGUGGGAACGUGCCCUUUGCUACGGAAUAGCCCCGGGAAACUGGGAGUAAUACCGUAUGUGCCCUUCGGGGGAAAGAUUUAUCGGCAAAGGAUCGGCCCGCGUUGGAUUAGGUAGUUGGUGGGGGAAUGGCCUACCAAGCCGACGAUCCAUAGCUGGUUUGAGAGGAUGAUCAGCCACACUGGGACUGAGACACGGCCCAGACUCCUACGGGAGGCAGCAGUGGGGGAUCUUAGACAAUGGGGGAAACCCUGAUCUAGCCAUGCCGCGUGAUCGAUGAAGGCCUUAGGGUUGUAAAGAUCUUUCAGUGGGGAAGAUAAUGACUGUACCCACAGAAGAAGCCCCGGCUAACUCCGUGCCAGCCGCCGCGGUAA